This 451-nucleotide ribosomal RNA is filed under the name Macrophomina phaseolina. Its description in RNAcentral is "eukaryotic LSU rRNA". The stretch from base 90 to 243 matches the Rfam family "5.8S ribosomal RNA". The record is from RNAcentral. Lineage: Eukaryota; Fungi; Ascomycota; Dothideomycetes; Botryosphaeriales; Botryosphaeriaceae.
GAUUUUGGGGGGUGGCUAGUGCCCGCCAGAGGACUAUCAAACUCCAGUUAGUAAACGUUGCAGUCUGAAAAAAAUAUUAAAUAAACUAAAACUUUCAACAACGGAUCUCUUGGUUCUGGCAUCGAUGAAGAACGCAGCGAAAUGCGAUAAGUAAUGUGAAUUGCAGAAUUCAGUGAAUCAUCGAAUCUUUGAACGCACAUUGCGCCCCUUGGUAUUCCGGGGGGCAUGCCUGUUCGAGCGUCAUUUCAACCCUCAAGCUCUGCUUGGUAUUGGGCACCGUCCUUUGCGGGCGCGCCUCAAAGACCUCGGCGGUGGCGUCUUGCCUCAAGCGUAGUAGAAUACACCUCGCUUCGGAGCGUAAGGCGUCGCCCGCCGGACGAACCUUCUGAACUUUUCUCAAGGUUGACCUCGGAUCAGGUAGGGAUACCCGCUGAACUUAAGCAUAUCAAUA